UUUCACAGGUCAGUCAGCUGUACGGUUCUGGUUUUAAACGUCAACCGAAUAGCGUUACACCAGUGAUAGAGCAAUAAAUGCGGCUGUGCCAUUCCCCCUGUCCACCUGUGGCCACUGUUCUAGUGGCCACGCCGGGCAAUCCGGGGCGUGGCACUUGGCCGGGCGCCCUUCCCUAGAGAGUUGAAUUACCUGAGUGGGGGGAGGACGACGACUUGUUGUUGUUGUCCCCCUGCAAACCAUCUAAUUCCUAGUUGGGAAGGUUACAUUU
Molecule: small nucleolar RNA, 268 nt
Organism: Drosophila melanogaster (fruit fly)
Lineage: Eukaryota; Metazoa; Arthropoda; Insecta; Diptera; Drosophilidae
Source: Ensembl